This 73-nucleotide transfer RNA is filed under the name Cellulosimicrobium sp. XJ-DQ-B-000. RNAcentral describes it as "tRNA-Lys". It matches the Rfam family "tRNA". Rfam says of the family: Transfer RNA (tRNA) molecules are approximately 80 nucleotides in length. Their secondary structure includes four short double-helical elements and three loops (D, anti-codon, and T loops). Lineage: Bacteria; Bacillati; Actinomycetota; Actinomycetes; Micrococcales; Promicromonosporaceae. The record is from RNAcentral.
GCCUCGCUAGCUCAGUGGUCAGAGCCACCGCCUCUUAAGCGGAGGGCCCCUGGUUCGAAUCCAGGGCGAGGUA